UGCGCCAAAGCCGUGGCCGCCCUCGCGCGCGCCCGCUCUGCGCCAGGCCGCUGCCUGGCCAUGGUCGCGCUCACCCGCUCUGUGCCAGGCCGCCGCCGGGCCGUGGCCGCGCUCGCCCGCGCUAAGCCGUGGUCGAGACCGCCCGCGCAGAGGCAUCCUCCGGCGUGGUCUCCAUAUCCAGCGUCUCGGAGUUGCGACCGCCGACUGGAAACACCCGGCGACCUGAGGCAACGCGCACGGCUCCCAGUGCACUUGUCGUUCGCUGCUACAACUAUGUUCGUGUACGAGCGGCCGGCGCACAGCUUAAACACGUUAGUGGUGGCCAGGCGAGAUCCUAAUCAAAUAACAGCGGUGGCGAUUUGCAUUGGCUAGCACGCACAGGAUAACAAUUGGGGAAAUCUUAUCUUCUAUGCAUGUUGCAUUUCAGCCCUUAGGUUUAUUCUAUUAUGUAAGCUUGCCCUUUGUGUGAUUACAUUUUACAAGCAAGCGAUCACGCCAUUUAAAAUUGUGUCAUUACAUUUUACAAGCAAACGAUCAGGCCAUUUGAACAUUGGCCUUCAAGCUUAUUUUAAGCCAUCUGGCCACGUAUUAUAAAGCUAACGUUUAUUUUCUAUACAAUUUAUGUUAAGCUCUCAGCUUUAUAAUAAGUAUGGGC
This 655-nucleotide long non-coding RNA is filed under the name Hordeum vulgare. RNAcentral's name for it is "long non-coding RNA (HVUL_LNC016706)". The record is from RNAcentral. Lineage: Eukaryota; Viridiplantae; Streptophyta; Magnoliopsida; Poales; Poaceae.